ACGCACGCUGGCGGCGUGCCUAAUCCAUGCAAGUAGCACGCUGAAGGAGGAGCUUGCUCUUCUGGAUGAGUUGCGAACGGGUGAGUAACGCGUAGGUAACCUGCCUGGUAGCGGGGGAUAACUAUUGGAAACGAUAGCUAAUACCGCAUAACAGUAGAUGUUGCAUGACAUUUGCUUAAAAGGUGCAAUUGCACCACUACCAGAUGGACCUGCGUUGUAUUAGCUAGUUGGUGGGGUAACGGCUCACCAAGGCGACGAUACAUAGCCGACCUGAGAGGGUGAUCGGCCACACUGGGACUGAGACACGGCCCAGACUCCUACGGGAGGCAGCAGUAGGGAAUCUUCGGCAAUGGACGGAAGUCUGACCGAGCAACGCCGCGUGAGUGAAGAAGGUUUUCGGAUCGUAAAGCUCUGUUGUAAGAGAAGAACGAGUGUGAGAGUGGAAAGUUCACACUGUGACGGUAUCUUACCAGAAAGGGACGGCUAACUACGUG
RNAcentral lists this ribosomal RNA (494 nucleotides) under uncultured bacterium. RNAcentral's name for it is "partial 16S ribosomal RNA". It matches the Rfam family "Bacterial small subunit ribosomal RNA", at positions 29 to 507 of the family's 1533-position model. The record is from RNAcentral.